RNAcentral lists this ribosomal RNA (800 nucleotides) under uncultured bacterium. RNAcentral's name for it is "bacterial SSU rRNA". It matches the Rfam family "Bacterial small subunit ribosomal RNA", at positions 73 to 852 of the family's 1533-position model. The record is from RNAcentral.
GAUUUCGGUAGAAUUCUUAGUGGCGAACGGGUGAGUAACGCGUAGGCAACCUACCCUUUAGACGGGGACAACAUUCCGAAAGGAGUGCUAAUACCGGAUGUGAUCAUCGUGCCGCAUGGCAGGAUGAAGAAAGAUGGCCUCUACAAGUAAGCUAUCGCUAAAGGAUGGGCCUGCGUCUGAUUAGCUAGUUGGUAGUGUAACGGACUACCAAGGCGAUGAUCAGUAGCCGGUCUGAGAGGAUGAACGGCCACAUUGGGACUGAGACACGGCCCAAACUCCUACGGGAGGCAGCAGUGGGGAAUCUUCCGCAAUGGACGAAAGUCUGACGGAGCAACGCCGCGUGAGUGAUGAAGGAUUUCGGUCUGUAAAGCUCUGUUGUUUAUGACGAACGUGCAGUGUGUGAACAAUGCAUUGCAAUGACGGUAGUAAACGAGGAAGCCACGGCUAACUACGUGCCAGCAGCCGCGGUAAUACGUAGGUGGCGAGCGUUGUCCGGAAUUAUUGGGCGUAAAGAGCAUGUAGGCGGCUUAAUAAGUCGAGCGUGAAAAUGCGGGGCUCAACCCCGUAUGGCGCUGGAAACUGUUAGGCUUGAGUGCAGGAGAGGAAAGGGGAAUUCCCAGUGUAGCGGUGAAAUGCGUAGAUAUUGGGAGGAACACCAGUGGCGAAGGCGCCUUUCUGGACUGUGUCUGACGCUGAGAUGCGAAAGCCAGGGUAGCGAACGGGAUUAGAUACCCCGGUAGUCCUGGCCGUAAACGAUGGGUAAUGGGUGUAGGAGGUAUCGACCCCUUCUGUGCUGGAGU